Molecule: long non-coding RNA, 1315 nt
Filed under: Anser brachyrhynchus (Pink-footed goose)
Lineage: Eukaryota; Metazoa; Chordata; Aves; Anseriformes; Anatidae
Description: lncRNA (ENSABRG00000002093.1)
Source: RNAcentral
GAUUAAGCCCUGCGGGAAGGAGGAGGGGAACCAACACGCCCACUUGCACCUGUACUCCAGGGGAAAGGAGUUGCAAGGAAUUAGAGGGAAACAACCAGCAAAUACGAGGUUUUUCAGCCGUGACCGAGGCAUUUAUGGAGCUAAGUGAUGCUGGAGGAGCUAAUUGAGGUGCUCGUGGGUCAGGGGUUUCAGGACUGCAGGGUGCUGGCUGGGGCAGGGGCUCCCUGUGGCUGAGGAGCAUCGAGGUGUGUGGGACCCCCGAGCUUGGCACCCCCAACGUUACGGGGUCAGCUCAGCUGUGCUGGUGGGGCUGGGGAACACGCAGGUGCCCCGGGGUCACACGUUGUCCCUCAGCAGGACAAAAUGCCUUUCAAGGCGGCGAGGAGAGCUCGGGCUGCCUGGGAGGGGUCUGGGCUCUGCGGCGCCUCCGUGGGUGCAGGAACUGAGCCUGGAGCCAGGGGGGCGCAGAGAAGGUGCCCUGGCUGCGAUGAGCCAUGAACUGGGGCACUUCCAGAGUCUGAAGGUCCCCUUUUUGCAGCCAGGUGCUGAGAUCAAAACUGCAGCAAGCAAGCCCAAGGGCAGGCGGUGAACAGCAUGGAGAGGCCAGGAGCCAGCAGGGCAGCGGCACAGGGACACCCUAAAAAAGUCCCUGUCCCAUGCAGGACUGGGACCCCCCUCCCCGCCUCCAGAAGCAGGAGCUGUGGCUGUGCCAGGAGCAUGGAGCAGGAGCUGGGUGCCCGCAGACCCCCACUUUGCAUGUUACCGGGGACUUCAUGAAUUAUGCAGCCGCCACAGCACGGCAGGACAAAUCAGCUGCAACACGCAAGCACUAAAAAGCGUAUUUAUCUUUGCGUCCUAUUGAUUUAUUUUCCUCUCCUGUUUUUCAAGCUCAGGAAGCUGCAGUGAGGAUGGGAAAACAAGCCAGGCAUUUGGGGGGCUCCUGGAGUCCGAUGGGUUCCCCCUGCUAACCGAGCAGUCCCAAUGGGUUUCUCCACUUCCAGGCUGAAGCCCCAAAGCUCAGCGCUGCCUUGGAGAGAGCGAAGUCCUCUGAGCAGCCUGGUGCUUGUUUCGAUGGAGCAGGAGCCUGGGAAUAUUGCAGAGAAGACGGGAUGAGCAGGAUCCACCAAGGCGUGCACAGCCCAGGGGCUCCAAAGGCUCCGUGGUUGCUCCUGGCAUCUGUCCCUCUGCCCCCUGCCCCUGCUUUUUGGGCUCCAGAGGCAAACAGGUGUCACGUGUGUGUGAGCAUCAGAGCCACAGCAGUUAAGGGAGUGAUCUGCAGCUGGUUCUGGAGCACCGGGGUGCUCCCUGCUUUGCC